RNAcentral lists this ribosomal RNA (507 nucleotides) under uncultured Pelosinus sp. Its description in RNAcentral is "bacterial SSU rRNA". It matches the Rfam family "Bacterial small subunit ribosomal RNA", at positions 1 to 526 of the family's 1533-position model. Lineage: Bacteria; Bacillati; Bacillota; Negativicutes; Selenomonadales; Sporomusaceae. The record is from RNAcentral.
UAGAGUUUGAUCCUGGCUCAGGAUGAACGCUGGCGGCGUGUCUAAGGCAUGCAAGUCGAACGCGCUUUUUUAACUUCGGUUUUGAGAGCGAGUGGCAAACGGGUGAGUAACACAUUGGUAACUUACCCCGAAGACGUGAAUAACCCCGCGAAAGCGGGGCUAAUACACGAUAAUAAUGGGGGGACGAAAGUCAUUCCCAUUUAAAGUUCCGACGCUUCGGGAAAGGCCUAUGGCCUAUCAGCUAGUUGGUGAGGUAAUGGCUCACCAAGGCUCUGACGGGUAGCGGGUGUGAGAGCACGACCCGCCUCACUGGGACUGAGACACUGCCCAGACUCCUACGGGAGGCUGCAGUCAAGAGUAUUUCGCAAUGCCCGCAAGGGUGACGGAGCGACGCCGCGUGAUCGAUGAAGCCCCUCGGGGUGUAAAGAUCUUUUAUUGGGGACGAACUAAUGACGGUACCCAAGGAAUAAGAGGUUGCUAACUCUGUGCCAGCCGCCGCGGUAAUUC